RNAcentral lists this ribosomal RNA (374 nucleotides) under uncultured organism. RNAcentral's name for it is "partial 16S ribosomal RNA". It matches the Rfam family "Bacterial small subunit ribosomal RNA", at positions 527 to 896 of the family's 1533-position model. The record is from RNAcentral.
GUAGGUGGCAAGCGUUGUCCGGAAUUAUUGGGCGUAAAGCGCGCGCAGGCGGUCCUUUAAGUCUGAUGUGAAAGCCCACGGCUCAACCGUGGAGGGUCAUUGGAAACUGGGGGACUUGAGUACAGAAGAGGAAAGCGGAAUUCCAAGUGUAGCGGUGAAAUGCGUAGAGAUUUGGAGGAACACCAGUGGCGAAGGCGGCUUUCUGGUCUGUAACUGACGCUGAGGCGCGAAAGCGUGGGGAGCAAACAGGGAUUAGAUACCCUGGUAGUCCACGCCGUAAACGAUGAGUGCUAAGUGUUAGGGGGUUUCCCGCCCCCUUAGUGCUGCAGCUAACGCAUUAAGCACUCCGCCUGGGGAGUGCGGCCGCAAGGCUG